CUUCAGGAGGGGACUGACGGAAUACGGCAAGAAAUACAUGGUUUGGAGCAGGAAAUUAUAUUGUUUUGACAGAUUUAAAUAAAGAUUAAAUGUUUAGUUUCACUACUAGAGCCCAUCCCCGGCAUAAAUGUUCAAAAAUAUUGUGCAUUUUAAUAUUACGAGAUUUUUCUUUUGGAAACAAUUUAAUACUUUUUUAUUUGAUGAUUUAAACUGGACACAUUUUUGACAAAAUGUUCAACGCGCUUAAAACUGGACACGAGCAGUCAGAUGAGCCAUAAACAGUUCAGGUCCAGCCCGAGAGCCAGUGCUGGAGUCAGGGGGACCUCCGCGCGCUGUCAGCCUCGCUGGAGCGGACCAGUGCACGCUGUCAUCCCCAGAGGAGGAUGCGCUCAUUCCGGGCCAAGAGCCUCUCGCUUAGCGUUUACUUUGAUGAACGUAGGACAUACGGACAGAUACGGGGCGGUGUACCCCCAGCGUGCAAAGCAAGCCUUCACAAUGUUUUGUCGCUUUGGGAAACUCGCCACUAUACAGAAACUAUUGCGCACGGACUUGGAUCUGACCAUCCGCGCUAACACUGGAGGGCGCCAUCGUGACAGGGAACUGGAUGUGUGAAGAAAAAUACCAAACUGGGAGGCAGGACAGAGACAGACACUCAACGUCUGGAAGAGGACAAAACUGUACAUUUUUAUGUGUAAGAAACAAACAGAUAAAAUAUUUGCUAAUAUUAA
Molecule: long non-coding RNA, 728 nt
Organism: Micropterus dolomieu (smallmouth bass)
Lineage: Eukaryota; Metazoa; Chordata; Actinopteri; Centrarchiformes; Centrarchidae
Exons: 2
Source: RefSeq, a predicted model, not a curated record